RNAcentral lists this ribosomal RNA (253 nucleotides) under uncultured bacterium. RNAcentral describes it as "partial 16S ribosomal RNA". It matches the Rfam family "Bacterial small subunit ribosomal RNA", at positions 524 to 776 of the family's 1533-position model. The record is from RNAcentral.
CACGUAGGGGGCAAGCGUUGUCCGGAAUUAUUGGGCGUAAAGAGCUCGUAGGCGGUUUGUCGCGUCGGCCGUGAAAACUUGGGGCUUAACCCCAAGCCUGCGGUCGAUACGGGCAGACUUGAGUUCGGCAGGGGAGACUGGAAUUCCUGGUGUAGCGGUGAAAUGCGCAGAUAUCAGGAGGAACACCGGUGGCGAAGGCGGGUCUCUGGGCCGAUACUGACGCUGAGGAGCGAAAGCGUGGGGAGCGAACAGG